CCAAUGAAUUUGUAGAUGUUUAAGUUUUGGUUGUUAAGUCUGUUGGUGAACAAAUGCCACCACCUGGUUAAUAUGAAAAAGGAAUGUUUUGUUCCUUCAGUCUCAAGCUUCUCAGUUGCUGAGUGUAGCUGCUCUGUUUAGGUAAGGCUGAAAGAGCUCAGUGCUGCAGCAUUUAAAAUUGACCAAAGGCUCCUUCCCAGGGCAGGAUGUUGCCAGAGCUGUUACUCUGUAAUUUAGAACUGGAUCCUGGAAUGAAUAUUCUGGGGUGAAGCAUUCCCAGAGGACAGCUGGAUGCUGUAGUCACAAAGCUCUUACUGGUGACCUGCUGGAAGUCAAAGCUGCCACACAGCAACUGGCCAGUGCUAGAGACUGCUGUUACUUCAAAUCCCAGAGCAGGGUGCCUGCCUGCACCUUUCUCCUGGUGAAAAGCAGGACACCCUUUCCCUCAAAGCAGGGAGGCCCCAAAUCCUCAUUAAAUGCAGCACACAGAGACUUAAAGGCAGCAGGGUUCUUAGAGGAAAUGUGUCAUGGCUAGUCAGUGCAGUUGCAUGAUUACAUGAGAUUUUAUGUAUCAAUAAGCAUUGAAGUGUGGUGAUCUUACCAGCUGCAUGUUCUUUCUAGUUCUGUUUCCUCCAGUGCACAGCAAGGAGUUGUCAUUAGGUGUCCAAUUUGCAUGGAAUUUUACUCCGAGAUUCUACAACAUGGACAACAGCUUGUGGUGACCCUGUGUGGCCAUGUCUUCUGCAGUAGAUGCCUCCCUAUUGCCCUGGAGACUACUCACAGGUGCCCAACCUGCAGGGUGGAACUUACUCCAGAUCUGUAUAUUCCCAUUUAUAUAUGAGUGCUUCUGCUUCUCAGGACACACUCAGAUGGAUCUUGGACAAUAGUCUUUAUGUAUAUAGUUCUUCCUGUUUCUUUAUGUAUAUAGUUCUUCCUGCACAUAGUUUCAUUUUUUGCUGAAUUCAAUUUAAAUAAAGUUUUGAAUAGUUGAAA
This is a long non-coding RNA of Haemorhous mexicanus (house finch), 993 nucleotides long. RefSeq lists it as uncharacterized. Lineage: Eukaryota; Metazoa; Chordata; Aves; Passeriformes; Fringillidae. The transcript is spliced from 2 exons. The record is from RefSeq and is a predicted model, not a curated record.